GGGCGCAUAGCUCAGUUGGCAGAGCGCGGUCCUUACAAGACCGAUGUCACAGGUUCGAGCCCUGUUGUGCCCA
This 73-nucleotide transfer RNA is filed under the name Anaerolineae bacterium. RNAcentral's name for it is "tRNA-Val". It matches the Rfam family "tRNA". From Rfam's summary of the family: Transfer RNA (tRNA) molecules are approximately 80 nucleotides in length. Their secondary structure includes four short double-helical elements and three loops (D, anti-codon, and T loops). Further hydrogen bonds mediate the characteristic L-shaped molecular structure. tRNAs have two regions of fundamental functional importance: the anti-codon, which is responsible for specific mRNA codon recognition, and the 3' end, to which the tRNAs corresponding amino acid is attached (by aminoacyl-tRNA synthetases). tRNAs cope with the degeneracy of the genetic code in two manners: having more than one tRNA (with a specific anti-codon) for a particular amino acid; and 'wobble' base-pairing, i.e. permitting non-standard base-pairing at the 3rd anti-codon position. Lineage: Bacteria; Bacillati; Chloroflexota; Anaerolineae. The record is from RNAcentral.